GAUGUGAGGGUGGUCUGGUUGUGACACCUGCCAUCCAUUGAUCACCAGAGUGAACUGGCUGAUGUGUUGGGUAGAUCUGGGGAAGGGUAUCCCCUUUUCUUUCGCAGUUC
RNAcentral lists this small RNA (110 nucleotides) under Tupaia belangeri (northern tree shrew). RNAcentral's name for it is "7SK RNA (ENSTBEG00000021100.1)". It matches the Rfam family "7SK RNA", at positions 2 to 107 of the family's 331-position model. From Rfam's summary of the family: 7SK was discovered as an abundant small nuclear RNA in the mid-70s but a possible function has only recently been suggested. Lineage: Eukaryota; Metazoa; Chordata; Mammalia; Scandentia; Tupaiidae. The record is from RNAcentral.